Molecule: ribosomal RNA, 253 nt
Filed under: uncultured bacterium
Lineage: Bacteria
Description: partial 16S ribosomal RNA
Rfam family: Bacterial small subunit ribosomal RNA
Source: RNAcentral
UACGUAGGGUGCAAGCGUUGUCCGGAAUUAUUGGGCGUAAAGAGCUCGUAGGCGGUCUGUCGCGUCGGCUGUGAAAACUCGGGGCUCAACUCCGAGCUUGCAGUCGAUACGGGCAGGCUAGAGUUCGGCAGGGGAGACUGGAAUUCCUGGUGUAGCGGUGAAAUGCGCAGAUAUCAGGAGGAACACCGGUGGCGAAGGCGGGUCUCUGGGCAACAACUGACGCUGAGGAGCGAAAGCGUGGGGAGCGAACAGG